AUGCCUAGGGCGAGGAGGUCGACUCCACGCCUCAGGAUUGCCUCCACCAAGAAAGACAGGAGGGUUAUUGUUGUUGAAGACUCUAUUCUUAGGGGAACAGAGGGCCCUAUUUGUCGGCCUGACCCUACCCGUAGGGAAGUCUGCUGCCCCCCUGGGGCCAGGGUCAGGGAUGUUGCCAGGAAGCUUCCCAACCUGGUACGCCCCUCUGAUUAUUAUCCUCUUGUGAUAGUCCAGGCGGGCAGUGACAACAUUGAAGAAAGAAGCCUGAAGGCUAUCAAAAGAAACGUUAGGGGGCUGGGACGGUUAGUGGAUGGAGCGGGAGUGCAGGUGGUGGUUUCAUCCAUCCCUACGGUGGCAGGGAGGGGUACGGAGAGGACACGGAAAGCCCACCUGUUAAACACGUGGCUCCGGGGCUGGUGCCAACGCAGGAAUCUUGGGUUUUUCGACCAUGGGGCACUUUACUCAGCACCUGGCCUGAUGGCCGUAGACGGGUCCCUAUCCUUUAGGGGAAAACGGAUCCUGGGCCAGGAGCUGGUGGGGCUCAUUGAGAGAGCUUUAAACUCUCUCUUUAAACUAGGUAAGAAGGGGGAUGGGGCUGAAGCAAGGAUUGUUGGGGCUGUGCCAGGGGGAACAAUGGCAAGGCCAGGGGAUAAGGUAAAGGCCCUGCUGAAGUGCAUCUACAUCAAUGCAUGCAGCAUGGGUAACAAACAGGAGGAGCUGGAAGCCAUUGUGCAGCAGGCAGGCUAUGACUUGGUUGCCAUCAUGGAGACGUGGUGGGACCAGUCUCAUGACUGGAGUGCUGCAAUGACUGGCUAUAGGCUCUUCAGAAGGGACAGGCAGCACAGAAGGGGUGGCGGUGUGGCUCUCUAUAUUAGAGAGUCUUUCGAUGUUGUAGAACUCGAGGUUGGGAAUGACAAGGUUGAGUCCCUUUGGGUUAGGAUCGGCAGGGACAACAAGGCUAGUGUCCUGGUCGGGGUCUGCUAUAGACUGCCAAACCAGGAAGAGGAGUUCUACAGGCAGCUGACAGAAGUUGCGAAAUCUUCAGCGCUUGUACUCACGGGAGACUUAAACAUCCCUGACAUAUCCUGGAAGCACAACACAGCCCAGAGAAAGCAGUCUAGGACGUUUCUGGAGAGCGUGGAAGAUAGCUUCCUGACGCAGCUGAUUAGUGAACCUACCAGGGGUGGUGCCCCGCUAGACCUUCUCUUCACAAACAGAGAAGGACUGGUGGAGGAUGUGAUUGUCGGGAGCUGUCUUGGGCAGAGUGACCACAAAAUGGUGGAGUUCACUAUUCUUGGAGAGGCCAGGAAGGGGACCAGUAAAACCACUGUAUUGGACUUUCAGAGGGCUGACUUUGGGCUGCUCAGGACACUAGUUGGUGGAGUUCCUUGGGAGGCGGUUCUGAAGGACAGAGGGGUCCAGGAAGGCUGGGCACUCUUCAAGAGGGAAAUCCUAAUGGCGCAGGAGCAGUCUGUCCCCAUGUGCCCAAAGAUGAGCCAG
This 1500-nucleotide long non-coding RNA is filed under the name Cairina moschata (Muscovy duck). RNAcentral's name for it is "domestica (muscovy Duck (domestic type)) lncRNA (ENSCMMG00000002596.1)". Lineage: Eukaryota; Metazoa; Chordata; Aves; Anseriformes; Anatidae. The record is from RNAcentral.